UACGGAGGGUGCGAGCGUUAAUCGGAAUUACUGGGCGUAAAGGGUGCGCAGGUGGUCUGUCAAGUUGUCUGUGAAAUCCCCGGGCUUAACCUGGGCAAGUCAGACAAGACUGAUGGACUCGAGUACGGGAGAGGGCAGUGGAAUUUCCGGUGUAGCGGUGAAAUGCGUAGAGAUCGGAAGGAACACCGGUGGCGAAGGCGGCUGCCUGGCCUGCUACUGACACUGAGGCACGAAAGCGUGGGGAGCAAACAGG
RNAcentral lists this ribosomal RNA (253 nucleotides) under uncultured bacterium. Its description in RNAcentral is "partial 16S ribosomal RNA". It matches the Rfam family "Bacterial small subunit ribosomal RNA", at positions 524 to 776 of the family's 1533-position model. The record is from RNAcentral.